This 1139-nucleotide long non-coding RNA is filed under the name Amborella trichopoda. Its description in RNAcentral is "long non-coding RNA (ATRI_LNC001091)". The record is from RNAcentral. Lineage: Eukaryota; Viridiplantae; Streptophyta; Magnoliopsida; Amborellales; Amborellaceae.
AAAAGUCAAGCCUUUUGGCAAUACGCCAAUCUCCCUCUCCCUGAUUGCGCUCUCCUUCCUCUUUCUUUCGUCGAGGAGAGGAAAGACCAAGCUCGUAGCAGUGGUCGUUUUAUCCUGUUCUUGAUCCAAUGUGGAGACAAGUUCUGUUCGUUAUACCUGACUCGUUUAAGAAGAGCAGAAACUCUUUUGAUUCAAUAGGGGGUGGAGUAUCAAAGGAGAAACUCUAAUACGAGGUAGGGCACAUAUUUGUGUUUUCUGUGCUUCUUGGCCUCUCCUUGAUCGUGCUCUCCUUCCUCUUUCUUUCGGAGGAGAGGAAAGACCAAGCUCGUAGCAGUGGUGGUUUUAUCAUGUUCUUGAUCCAAUGUGGAGACAAGUUCGGUUCGUUAUACCUGUCUCAUUUAAGAAGAGAAGAAAGUCUUUUGAUUCAAUAGGGGGUGGAGUAUCAAAGGAGAAACUCUAAUACGAGGUAAGGCACGUAAUUGUGUUUUCUGUGCUUCUUGGCACUGGCUGGCCUAGUGUUACCUAUAGCAAUACCAAUUGCUAGUCUAUUAAGAUUGAUUUUCUUUGCUAGCUCUCUUUCUAUAUGAGAGAUUACAUUGAUAGCUACUAGGGUAAUCAGAUCAAAGGUUAGCCAGCCAAUAGAGCCCCCCGCCCGAUUUGGUAUAUAGCCAAUCUCUCUUCUAUAGCACUGGUGUAUUGAUAGGUUUAUGGGUACUCAUCUAGAUAGCACUACUAAUAAAAUAGAAAGGUACUGUAUUGAUAUAGCACUAAAGCCCAGAGGUAUUGUAUGAAAAUAGUCAUGGAUAGCCGAUUGGAAGCUGAAAAGAAAAAGCAGUAAAAGAAAGCCCGCCUCUUCUUCAUUCAAGGCAAGGCUCUCUAUUGGCUUUGCCACUACUUCAGUUGACUUAACUCUCUCCUGACUUGAGUUAGUAAAGUGCAAUACUAGAGUGGGCUGGCUUCCCGCGGUGUAAAUGGCCUAACCCGCCCGUCCCUUCCACCUUAGGCUAGCCAAGGCGUAGCCUAGGGAUUAUUGCCUUGCCUUGAUCUGCUGCGAACUCUUUUGGACAAGAGUUGAUGUCCCUCCCGGAUCAGGGAGCAUUAGGAUAUGAUAUAAUGAACGCGGAGCCCUGCUUGCUUCU